Molecule: long non-coding RNA, 417 nt
Organism: Pantherophis guttatus
Lineage: Eukaryota; Metazoa; Chordata; Lepidosauria; Squamata; Colubridae
Source: RefSeq, a predicted model, not a curated record
UAUCAAUUCUCCCCUGCUUUCCUCUGGACUUAUUAACCUGACUGACAGAGGCAGAGGAAGAGUGUGGUGAAGCAGGAUGGGGAGCUCCUGAUCUUCCUUGGAGCCCUUCUGCCCAUGAAUGACCCAGGAAACAACCUGGGUCAAAAAGAACAGCCAUGAGAAACCAGAAGCUUUGGAGAAAUCAACUUUAGAGGAAGGUCUUCAAUAAUUCAACGUCUCCACCAAGCAGGCACUGCUGUGUUUUUCCACUUCCAUGGGAAAAUGACAGUGUCUUUUAAUGGUGCUAUGAUGAGUGACCAGAAACAGUUUAAUUAAAAAAAGGAAGCCUUUCUUAAAAUUAAAACACCCUGCAUUUUGCAUUGAUAAUGAGACCAGUAAUGGCCAGAACAGAUUACAGGUGGCUCCAGACUUUGAGAU